This 401-nucleotide ribosomal RNA is filed under the name uncultured soil bacterium. Its description in RNAcentral is "bacterial SSU rRNA". It matches the Rfam family "Bacterial small subunit ribosomal RNA", at positions 975 to 1375 of the family's 1533-position model. The record is from RNAcentral.
CAAGGCUUGACAUACACGAGAACACCCUGGAAACAGGGGACUCUUUGGACACUCGUGAACAGGUGGUGCAUGGUUGUCGUCAGCUCGUGUCGUGAGAUGUUGGGUUAAGUCCCGCAACGAGCGCAACCCUCGUUCUAUGUUGCCAGCACGUAAUGGUGGGAACUCAUGGGAUACUGCCGGGGUCAACUCGGAGGAAGGUGGGGAUGACGUCAAAUCAUCAUGCCCCUUAUGUCUUGGGCUUCACGCAUGCUACAAUGGCCGGUACAAAGGGCUGCAAUACCGUGAGGUGGAGCGAAUCCCAAAAAGCCGGUCCCAGUUCGGAUUGAGGUCUGUAACUCGACCUCAUGAAGUCGGAGUCGCUAGUAAUCGCAGAUCAGCAACGCUGCGGUGAAUACGUUCCC